CAGCCGCCGCGGGAAUACGAAGGGGGCUAGCGUUGUUCGGAUUUACUGGGCGUAAAGGGCGCGUAGGCGGACUGAUAAGUCAGGGGUGAAAUCCCAAGGCUCAACCUUGAACUGCCUUUGAUACUGUUUGUCUUGAGUUCGAGAGAGGUAAGUGGAACUGCGAGUGUAGAGGUGAAAUUCGUAGAUAUUCGCAAGAACACCAGUGGCGAAGGCGGCUUACUGGCUCGAAACUGACGCUGAGGCGCGAAAGCGUGGGGAGCAAACAGGAUUAGAUACCCCCGUAGUCCCUGUCUCUUAUACA
RNAcentral lists this ribosomal RNA (301 nucleotides) under uncultured bacterium. RNAcentral's name for it is "partial 16S ribosomal RNA". It matches the Rfam family "Bacterial small subunit ribosomal RNA", at positions 509 to 808 of the family's 1533-position model. The record is from RNAcentral.